Molecule: ribosomal RNA, 465 nt
Filed under: uncultured bacterium
Lineage: Bacteria
Description: partial 16S ribosomal RNA
Rfam family: Bacterial small subunit ribosomal RNA
Source: RNAcentral
CUACGGGCGGCAGCAGUGGGGAAUAUUGGACAAUGGGGGAAACCCUGAUCCAGCAAUGCCGCGUGUGUGAAGAAGGCCUGCGGGUUGUAAAGCACUUUCGGUUGGGAGGACUGCUUCUAGCACUAAUAUUGUUGGAAGUUGACGUUACCUUCAGAAGAAGCACCGGCUAACUCCGUGCCAGCAGCCGCGGUAAUACGGAGGGUGCAAGCGUUAAUCGGAAUUACUGGGCGUAAAGCGCGCGUAGGCGGCUAGAUCAGUCGGGUGUGAAAGCCCCGGGCUUAACCUGGGAACUGCAUCCGAUACUGUCUAGCUUGAGUACGGGAGAGGAGAGUGGAAUUCCACAUGUAGCGGUGAAAUGCGUAGAUAUGUGGAGGAACACCAAUGGCGAAGGCAGCUCUCUGGCCUGAUACUGACGCUGAGGUGCGAAAGCGAGGGGAGCAAACAGGAUUAGAUACCCUCGUAGUC